UUUCUACUCCCUCCGUCCGAAAAUACUUGUCAUCAAAAUGGAUAAAAGAGAUGUAUCUAAAACAAAAAUAUGUAUUCUCAAAAAAAAAACUAAAAUACGUCUAGAUACAUUUCCUUUUAUCCAUUUUGAUGACAAGUAUUUCCGGCCGGAGGGAGUAUUUG
Triticum aestivum (bread wheat) is the source of this 161-nucleotide non-coding RNA. The record is from Rfam. NCBI's taxonomy places the organism in Eukaryota, Viridiplantae, Streptophyta, Magnoliopsida, Poales, Poaceae.